CACGUAGGGGGCAAGCGUUGUCCGGAUUUAUUGGGCGUAAAGAGCUCGUAGGUGGUUCGGUAAGUCGGGUGUUAAACCCCCAGGCUCAACCUGGGGACGCCACUCGAUACUGCUGUGACUAGAGUCCGGUAGGGGAGCGUGGAAUUCCCGGUGUAGCGGUGAAAUGCGCAGAUAUCGGGAAGAACACCCGUGGCGAAGGCGGCUACUCUGGGACGGUACUGGACGGCUGAGACGCGAAAGCGUGGGGAGCGAACGAG
Molecule: ribosomal RNA, 257 nt
Filed under: uncultured bacterium
Lineage: Bacteria
Description: partial 16S ribosomal RNA
Rfam family: Bacterial small subunit ribosomal RNA
Source: RNAcentral